Non-coding RNA from Pelobates cultripes (western spadefoot toad), 268 nucleotides. The record is from the annotation of a GenBank genome assembly. NCBI's taxonomy places the organism in Eukaryota, Metazoa, Chordata, Amphibia, Anura, Pelobatidae.
UCUAUGUGUAUGUACCAGUGCUUGUAUCUGCCAGUGUGUAUCUGUGUGUAUGUGCCAGUGUGCAUAUUUGUGUGUAUGUGCCAGUGUGGGCAUCUGUGUUUGGCUGCAUGGCCCAGUGUGUGUUACGGAGUGUGUGUGUGUAUGUAUGUGCCAGUGUGGGUAUCUGUGUGUAGGUGCCAGUGCACCUCUGUGUCAAGUUGUGUAUAUGCCAGUGUGUGUGUGUGUGUAUCAGUAUGUGUAUCUGUGUGUCAAGGUGUGUGAUUGUGUC